This 356-nucleotide ribosomal RNA is filed under the name Haminoea antillarum. Its description in RNAcentral is "partial small subunit ribosomal RNA". The record is from RNAcentral. Lineage: Eukaryota; Metazoa; Mollusca; Gastropoda; Cephalaspidea; Haminoeidae.
ACCCCACUAUUAACCCACAAGAAAAAUCCUAAGCACUACGGCUUUAAAGCUAAAACUUAAAUAACAUGGCGGCGAGCUUAAAUUUCAGAGGAACCUACCAGGUAAAUGAUAACCCGCAAUUUAUUCUUACUUUAUCUAAAAGUUUAUAUAUCGCCGUCUAGUAAUCUUCCGAGAAGGCUACAAAAUGUAUUAUUACAAUAAGACAGGUCAUGACAUAGCAUAUGAUAAAGACUUGAGGUGGGUUACAAUAAGGAAUUCUUUCAGAAAAGUUGCCUAAAGGCAUGCUCCAAGAUGGAUUUGAAAGUAAUAGUUAAAAUAAAUAGACUUUGAAUUUUUCUAAGUUCGUGUACACACCG